AGGGAAUAUUGGACAAUGGACGAAAGUCUGAUCCAGCAAUGCCGCGUGAGUGAUGAAGGCCUUAGGGUUGUAAAGCUCUUUUAGUGGGGAAGAUAAUGACGGUACCCACAGAAAAAGCACCGGCUAACUUCGUGCCAGCAGCCGCGGUAAUACGAAGGGUGCAAGCGUUGUUCGGAAUUACUGGGCGUAAAGCGCGCGUAGGCGGCUUAAUAAGUUGGGAGUGAAAUCCCGGGGCUCAACUCCGGAAUUGCUUUCAAAACUAUUAAGCUAGAGUAUGGUAGGGGAUAGUGGAAUUCCUAGUGUAGAGGUGAAAUUCGUAGAUAUUAGGAGGAACACCAGUGGCGAAAGCGACUGUCUGGGCCAUUACUGACGCUGAGGCGCGAAAGCGUGGGGAGCAAAC
RNAcentral lists this ribosomal RNA (400 nucleotides) under uncultured bacterium. Its description in RNAcentral is "bacterial SSU rRNA". It matches the Rfam family "Bacterial small subunit ribosomal RNA", at positions 356 to 773 of the family's 1533-position model. The record is from RNAcentral.